Long non-coding RNA from Corapipo altera (White-ruffed manakin), 259 nucleotides. RefSeq lists it as uncharacterized. Lineage: Eukaryota; Metazoa; Chordata; Aves; Passeriformes; Pipridae. The record is from RefSeq and is a predicted model, not a curated record. The transcript is spliced from 4 exons.
GAGCUCGUCAGCCCUGUAAGGCCAUCCAUCUAAGAGAAGGUCACUCUAAACAAACCUACAUCCUGAGGACCUCACUGACACUGUCCAAGCUCACUCUGCCCUGGCAGACGAACCUUAGGAUUAAAGGGUGGGCUCAGCUCAGCGCACACUGUGUCUCACCUAAAAAAUCCGCUGCACAGGCUUGAAGGGUAAAGACCUUUCCCAAAUCUUCCUUCGCGAAGACUGACCAUACAUCAUAUACUAUUUUUCAAAACUGUCA